Molecule: ribosomal RNA, 255 nt
Filed under: Triticum aestivum (bread wheat)
Lineage: Eukaryota; Viridiplantae; Streptophyta; Magnoliopsida; Poales; Poaceae
Description: partial small subunit ribosomal RNA
Source: RNAcentral
UUAGAACUUUGGAUUAAUAAUUGGUGGAGUACCAGGCAAUCCGAAACUCUCUUAACUGAUAUUCUAGAGAAAAGGAUUCUAGAAAGAUGCGUAGAAUUAGAAGAACUUUCUCUCUUGGACGAGAUAAUAAAAGGGAAACUAAAGACACGUGUACAAAAACCUCCUACAUCACAGAAGGAAACAAUAUUAAUAGUAAGUAGUCUAGUUAAAUUUGUUUUUUCAUUGCAUCCACUUAAAUUCAAUAAAGUAAAAUAA